RNAcentral lists this ribosomal RNA (465 nucleotides) under uncultured bacterium. RNAcentral describes it as "partial 16S ribosomal RNA". It matches the Rfam family "Bacterial small subunit ribosomal RNA", at positions 28 to 507 of the family's 1533-position model. The record is from RNAcentral.
GACGAACGCUGGCGGCGUGCUUAACACAUGCAAGUCGAACGGAAAGGCCCUGCUUGCAGGGUACUCGAGUGGCGAACGGGUGAGUAACACGUGGGUGAUCUGCCCUGCACUUCGGGAUAAGCCUGGGAAACUGGGUCUAAUACCGGAUAGGAGCCAUUUUUAGUGUGAUGGUUGGAAAGUUUUUUCGGUGUAGGAUGAGCUCGCGGCCUAUCAGCUUGUUGGUGGGGUAAUGGCCUACCAAGGCGACGACGGGUAGCCGGCCUGAGAGGGUGGACGGCCACAUUGGGACUGAGAGACGGCCCAGACUCCUACGGGAGGCAGCAGUGGGGAAUAUUGCACAAUGGGCGCAAGCCUGAUGCAGCGACGCCGCGUGGGGGAUGACGGCCUUCGGGUUGUAAACUCCUUUCGCUAGGGACGAAGCUUUUUGUGACGGUACCUAGAUAAGAAGCACCGGCUAACUACGUG